UUCCAUCUGCUCGCGAUAUAUUUUGGGUUCCAAUUUUUUCAGGAGAGGAGGAAAGACGAGCGUGGGAGAAGCGGCGGCUUACAGGAGCCUCCAAGUCUGAGCUCCCGAUGGCGGGUGUGAUCGGGCGGCGCACCCUCCUUCGUCGGGCCGUGGAGCACCUCCAGGCGGCAAGCUACUUCAGUACAGUCAAAUGCUCCCAUGCUGAAGCUAAAGUAAACUGGUCAGUGAAGCGGACUCUUUCAUCCAGUUCAUUCAACAAGCACAAGAUUUCAUCUGAAACUGAAAUGCCACUUCGGUGAAUUAGCGUAUUAGAGCAUGCUGCUGUUUUAAAGAAAUCAUUGAACACUAUGAUGGGGUUAACUAGUUUUAUUGGCCUUGGAUGGAUCUAUAUAGCAAUCAAUAUGUAUCCAGAUGGCAGCGCAAGUUGCAGUAACUGCCAUUGCCAUGGUUCAAAACCUGAGGUUCAACGAAAUUAGGAGCUGCAAAUACUAUGGGGCGGCCAUUGUUUGUUUUAUUUGCCGAAACUCUUCUACUCUUGCUUGUGAGAGGAACUCUAACCUGCUGUACUCCUAGAAGACACCUAGAAUGUCGUACUGUAACUUAAGACUCUUAAAUUUUAUGCUCUGUUUUCUGAUGCAUGCUUGAUAUAAUAUUAAUUGGGAAAUUUUAUGCUCAUUCCGACCUGGAGCUCGUACAUUUGAUUGCUCACUCGCUAGUGAGUCCGACAAGAACAUGCUUGUCCUGGUCUCACUGAUGGCUCGCUAGAGGCCAGGGUGAACACAUGGAGCUCCAUGCUGUACUGGUGAAGUCCAAUAUAUGCCAGAACAUUGACGGCCAAAGGAUUAAAGCAUUUCAUGAGUUACGGCAGAUUAAUUGCAGUAUGUGCCAAAAAGGAGGGUUCAUAAUAGUCAGACAUGUCCUGAGAGGAGAGGAAGUAGAUGACCAGGUGUAUUGGAGUAUGAGUGGAGUAUAUGUUCUCUGGUUCCUUAAACUAACUAAUUCUGAGUUGCUGGAUAUAAGAUCACAAAUCACAGUUACAUCUUACAUGACAUGCCUCAUAAUUUUCCAUUUGAAGUACUUGAUAUUUGAUGCAUGCCUGGUCAGCAUGAAUAAAGGGAUUGAUCACAUACUAAGGAUAGUUUGAUACUAUACUAGACAAAUAGACUUGUAGUAGUAAACUUGCUUUGUGUACAAUGUUUUUUUUUUGAAUAAAGGUGUACAAUGCUUUGAAAGUCACAGAUCAUAUCACAGUUCGCGAACAUUUGGGGCUUCAUACUUGAUAUUUGUUCUGGUACAUGCUACUUAACUUGAUACAUAUGGGAUCAUUGAUG
This is a long non-coding RNA of Panicum virgatum (switchgrass), 1331 nucleotides long. RefSeq lists it as uncharacterized. NCBI's taxonomy places the organism in Eukaryota, Viridiplantae, Streptophyta, Magnoliopsida, Poales, Poaceae. The record is from RefSeq and is a predicted model, not a curated record. The transcript has 6 exons.